This 1409-nucleotide long non-coding RNA is filed under the name Lotus japonicus. Its description in RNAcentral is "long non-coding RNA (LJAP_LNC000171)". Lineage: Eukaryota; Viridiplantae; Streptophyta; Magnoliopsida; Fabales; Fabaceae. The record is from RNAcentral.
AAACUACACAUAAUAAGAUAAUUAUUUAUAACCAAAUAUUGUGAUACACUUCUACAGGGAGGAAAACUUAAUGAGAAUGGUGUUUUCAAUUUUGUAAAAUGAUAAGAAUAGCGAGAAGCUUUGAAAUCCCAUCAAGAAAAUUCAUUUUAUAAGUAAAGUUGCAUCUUUCUGAUGAAAAUCUAGCAUUUUGUAUCAUGACAUUAAUUUCCCUAUAUUUUAUGCUCUCAUUUUCCCUUUCCAACUAACCAUAUGUGAAGAGGGAAAAGUGUAGCAUAAAGGGGACUUGUACAUGAGUAUCAAUGUGAAUCAUCUCUGCAAACAUAAGUUUCUUCACAGUAUUUUAAAACUCAAUCAUAAUGCACAUAUGGUAAAUGCUUCUAAGUUCUAACCAAAACAAAAGAAACCAUCCAUGAAAAGAGCCUCAUGACUAAUAGUAAUUUUCCUGCUCCAUUAGAAUAAGAAAAAAUUGACUAAAUUGGAAAAGCAAACAGAUCCGCUCCCAACCGUGAAAUUUAGUGACUGUUCUUAUUCCGGUCUCAUAUACCUGAAUUGCAGAAUGACAUACUUAAUAACAAAAAUUAAAAAUAAUUUCAAUUUAACAAACAUUGAUGUAGUUGAUAACUAUCCCAGAAGCAAAUUCAGCUACACUAACUAACUUCCCAGGCUCCUAAAACAUCAUUUUUCAAUUGCAAAGAAUGUGUAACAGUUGAGAAACUAAAAUCACCAUAACAAUCCAAUUUAAAAUUGCAUUGAGCUUAACGUAAGACUCUAGGUAACUCAACUUGGAUUAUAGUCACCCCGAACAUUGAACAACUUAUGUGACUGAACUAACCAAGCAUCUACAUGUAAGAAUAAGAAAAAUCCUUGCUAUUAGAGGGAAAACACAACCAUAAUUAAGGUGACUGAAAAUAUACAUAUGCUUAUAUUUGAAUUAAAGUCACUGCACUAUCAAUUAAACCUUUUAGUAAUCAAAACUCAUGUAGCACAUGAUAUAUACAAUGUUCUCACCAUCUCAUGCACCUGACAUUUCUUCUCCUAAAAGUAGUGUGGCAAACAUUUCCUUCAUCAAUUCAGAUUCUGCGUAAAAGCACAAGGAAAGAUAACAACUAAUGAUGUCUUACAUGAAGAGGUAAGAUAAAGGAAUUUCACAUGUUUCUAAGUGAUAACCUCUUUCAUUAUAUUGAUUAAAUUGAAAUACAAAAUCUAGGAACAAUCUUGACUAAAAUUUAUAGCCCAAAAGAUACCAGCUGGUGGCUUAGAAGGCAUUCUAGCUCCUUCACCAACCCACCUUGUGGUGUUUAGUUACUAAAGAAAAGUGAUUGAAGUAUUCCAAAACAUGGUUAUGGUUCAAAAUGUGCUGCAUCAAAAUUAUAAACCAUUCUCCUAAGUCCUAAUUUAUGCAAAUGUAG